Long non-coding RNA from Hyaena hyaena (striped hyena), 1410 nucleotides. RefSeq lists it as uncharacterized. The record is from RefSeq and is a predicted model, not a curated record. Lineage: Eukaryota; Metazoa; Chordata; Mammalia; Carnivora; Hyaenidae. The transcript has 2 exons.
AGCUGCUCCCGGCACAGCCCCAUCACAGACCAGCAUCUCUGACUUUCUGUUUGUACCACUUCCGUCUGGCUCCUGAUGCCUGCCUUUCCAGGGGUGUUUCGCCUCCAUUGUCUAAGAUUCUGAGGACACCAAUGGCCUGGAGGCCGGUUCGGUUUUCCAGAAGACCCAGGGCUGGGGCUCCCUCUACGCCCCUGCGGCCGCCCCGUGGAACAAGGACAAGAAAUGUUACAUGGGACAUGGUUAUCUUCAGCAUGGAUUGGACUUAGUUUCUUGGGACACAAUCAGCUGUCAGGUGUCCACUGACUUUGUGCACAGACCCGCCCACCAACCACAAGCAGAUGCCCCCGGCAUGCCUGAAGUGUCGAGAACACAUGGAGACAUCCAUGCACAAGAAACCUCUAACUGUAACAUUUUUAAUACUUAAUUUCUCUGUGAGAUUUUAUUUUUGGAAAUGAUAUGCUGCCAGCCAAGAGAUGCGGUUUGGGAAGGUCUUUCUCAGAUUUCCAGCUGGACAGACAAUGAGGACGGUCACACUGUGUGAAGCCCAAGGGCAGGGUCCAUGCCGAGGGCACACGGUGGAUGCAGAGUGAACACACGAGCAGAGAGCUGAGUGCUAAGAGGUAUUCCAGCUCCCAUGACUGUGAACAUAGGGAUCUCCCACCUGGAAGGAAAACCCUAUAGGAGGAGGUGAAAAAAAUGGAUAACACAGAAAAGGUGUGUUUGUAAACUGGAGAGAGGGGCUGUGGGGUAGGAUAGAGUUUGUAAGGAUGUGUUAGAAGGCUUUGCUUCUGCCCCGAGGCUUUGUGUGAAAGGAAGCGUUGUCUGCCGCCCUCUGACCACUUCCUCAGGACCAGCUUCACCCUGUGGAGCUGCAACUGGAAGUGAAUCAACCCAGGUGGUGCAAGGAAAACGAAGCUGCUUUAGUGACCACGGUGGCGGUUCAUCGAUGUUUUUCGUCUCCGCGCCUGUCCUCCCCGGCUGGGCUCCCCGCUUCCCUGAGUGGUGGUGGUGGAGGUGAACCUGAGCUUCCAGGCAGGAGGUUACCCACACGCAUGCGCAGGUGGCCAGCUGCAGGGGUGGGAGGAGCACUCACCUUGCUGCAAUGAGGAAGGUGCAGAGCUGGGAGGUGAGUUAAUUCAGAGCAGCAAGAUGCAGGAGCUUUUGUUCCCUCAGCCGAAAUCCACCCCCCACCCCCACCUAGGAGAUCUGAGCCCGAGGAGCGCCAGGCGCAGGGCUGAUAGGUGACAGGUGCAAGCGUGAGUGCAGUGUAGGAUGGAGGGCGCUCCUGGGUUACAUUACAGUGAAGAAGGAGCCAAUGCAGCCAUGUGGCAGUCGCUGUCUGGGGAUGCAUUCAGGUCUCAGUGUCUUUUCAAACCAGCUCCGUCAGGGGAAGAACAGAAGAGAUGUGGA